Anguilla anguilla (European eel) is the source of this 656-nucleotide long non-coding RNA. RefSeq lists it as uncharacterized. Lineage: Eukaryota; Metazoa; Chordata; Actinopteri; Anguilliformes; Anguillidae. The transcript is spliced from 3 exons. The record is from RefSeq and is a predicted model, not a curated record.
AGCAAAAAGACAAUCCAUUAGAGCUUGUUCAGAAGCUACAAUUAACUUCGGGAUUAUUUUAGUCGGUGGCGUCAACUGAAGUUCACCAAGGGGAUGAAAAGCGACACAGAGUUGGUCUGUUUUCUGUUGGUCCUUCACACGUGGAGCCACCUUGUCUCCCCAUCGUAUCCUGAUUUCACCUCGUUUGACCCUGGUUUACCAAUCCUGCUGCAUCUUCCACCGUCUUCCUUCAGCAAGGAAGUAGAGGAUCCAGAACAUCUCAGGAGCCUUGGUCCCCCUUGGCCUCAGGAGGAAAAAAAAAUCAUUAAAACAAGCCCAGCGGAGAAUCAGCAAGAAGCAGCUGUACUUGCGAGGCUGUACACCGCGGUCUUAUCUGAAGGAAAGGUGCCCAGUCCGGGACACGGCUCAGGACUGCGAAGCCCGAAUUAGAGCCGUCCGACAGGACGCCUGUCAGAUCUCACCGUCCGCUUGUAUUGAGUUUGUCACCGGUUGACAGGUGGAUGACACAUGAUGGAUCACCACUAAUGUAAAAAGCAUGGUACAUUACAUUUUUCAAUCUAGUUCCCCUAACAGCCCUUCAUCAUUCUGCCAAUUUGUAAAAAGUGUAAUCAAUGUUUCAUUACCGUAGAUAAACAGUAUAUCAGAAGGAGAAUGAA